This 264-nucleotide ribosomal RNA is filed under the name uncultured archaeon. RNAcentral's name for it is "partial 16S ribosomal RNA". It matches the Rfam family "Archaeal small subunit ribosomal RNA", at positions 716 to 982 of the family's 1478-position model. The record is from RNAcentral.
AGUCACUGACAUUAGAUACCCGCGUAGUCCCAGCCGUAAACAAUGUGCGUUAGGUGUGUCGGUAACCACGCGUUACUGAUGCGCCGAAGAGAAAUCGUGAAACGCACCACCCGGGAAGUACGGUCGCAAGGCUGAAACUUAAAGGAAUUGGCGGGGAGCACCACAACAGGUGGAGCCUGCGGUUUAAUUGGAUUCAACGCCGGACAUCUCACCGGAUAAGACAGCUGAAUGAUUGUCAAUCUGAAGGUUUUACAUGACUAGCUG